CCUACGGGUGGCAGCAGUGGGGAAUAUUGCACAAUGGGGGAAACCCUGAUGCAGCGACGCCGCGUGAGUGAAGAAGUAAUUCGUUACGUAAAGCUCUAUCAGCAGGGAAGAAACACUGACCUUACGGUCAGCAGACGGUACCUGAGUAAGAACCCCCGGCUAACUACGUGCCAGCAGCCGCGGUAAUACGUAGGGGGCAAGCGUUAUCCGGAUUUAUUGGGUGUAAGGGGAGCGUAGAGGGGGCGCCAAGUCUAGAGUGAAAUGCCGGCGCUUAACUGCGGAACUGCUUUGGAAACUGGCGAACGAGAGUGCGGGAGGGGUAAGCGGAAUUCCUAGUGUAGCGGUGAAAGGCGUAGAUAUUAGGAGGAACACCGGUGGCGAAGGCGGCUUACUGGACCGUAACUGACGUUGAGGCUCGAAAGCGGGGGGAGCAAACAGGAUUAGAUACCCGAGUAGUC
This 458-nucleotide ribosomal RNA is filed under the name uncultured bacterium. Its description in RNAcentral is "partial 16S ribosomal RNA". It matches the Rfam family "Bacterial small subunit ribosomal RNA", at positions 338 to 795 of the family's 1533-position model. The record is from RNAcentral.